GCGCAGUCCUGCACUGCGGCACUCACGCACUCCACUUUCCACCUCAGCCUGCUAGGCGAGUCACCUCGGCUCUGCGCUCUCGGCCGCCUCCAAGGCCUCCAAGUCACCUUUAAUCAUGAAAACCCAGGAGCCGGGAAGCUAGGACGCGGGCUUGAUCCUCCCACACCUGCGAGCUAUGGAUCUUCUGGAGUACACGAAAGGAGAUAUCGCUGGGUCCUCAGACUGUUGACGCGUCCUUCCAAGGAACUGAUAAGCCCAGGCCCCUAGGACGGGAUGCUAGGACUCCAGUGUGGGGCCUUGCUGUGAACCCCUUCCCAAGUGUUUGCUUCCCUGAUGGGCCUUUGCCAAAAGGCCCUCUUGACACCGAAAAGGAUGACGACUCAGGUUCUGCGGCAGCCAAUGCCCCUCCCCCAACUCUCUGCACUCACUGGUGGGGGCCACGGUCAAGGAAGCAAGUAUCCCGAAUUGACAGCUUGGUGCAGAGGGGACAUGCGAGGUGUCUCUAUCCUGAGAGGAAGCAGCUGGACCCUGGCGCUCCCAAGGAGCGUACUCCCCAGUGUGGAAAAACAAGAGAACGUGACUGUCUCAUGGUGAGCGCCUGCUGGGGCCUUAUCCAGGCUAUGGCGGUCUCCGUGGGCGUCCAGGGAGAGCAAGGAUGCUGACAUGGAACGUGCCUCCAGAGCUCGUUGCCAUCGGCUCGCCAGCCAGGAACACCUUUUUACUUUGGCCGCCUGGACUCCGAGGGAAUUCUGCCGGGGCUCCUGGAGGAUGCCCAGCCAGGAUUGUUCAGGGCUGUCAUUGUCUCAGUCUCUUUGCCUCAUUGUCUUAGUCACGUUGCUUCAUUGUUAUUGUCUCCGUCUGUCCAAUCGCGUACUCACAGCCUUAGCAAAAUAAGCAAUUUUAUCUUGUCUUUUACAUACAAAAAAAAAAAAUGGAGAUUUUCUUACUUCAAGCCUUUCAGGCAUCGAGAGACCUAACCCCACCCAGAUUCCUUUGUAUUUAUGGUUACUAAAACGUCAUGUCUUAAAUCUGUAUCUUUGGACAACAGAAAAAAUAGUUUUAAAUAGCAAUGUGAUCAAACUUAACAUGGAUUUUUAAAAAAAAAAAAGUAGGGACAAAUUGGAACCGA
RNAcentral lists this long non-coding RNA (1129 nucleotides) under Rattus norvegicus (Norway rat). RNAcentral's name for it is "long non-coding RNA NONRATT019883". The record is from RNAcentral. Lineage: Eukaryota; Metazoa; Chordata; Mammalia; Rodentia; Muridae.